Molecule: transfer RNA, 63 nt
Filed under: Mus musculus (house mouse)
Lineage: Eukaryota; Metazoa; Chordata; Mammalia; Rodentia; Muridae
Also listed under: 1 other name
Rfam family: tRNA
About the family: Transfer RNA (tRNA) molecules are approximately 80 nucleotides in length.
Source: Rfam by way of RNAcentral
GGGGAUUUAGCUCAAUGGUAGAGCGCUUGCCUAGCAAGCACAAGGCCCUGGGUUCAGUCCUCA